ACAAAGGGCAGCAAGUUCGCGAGGACAAGCAAAUCCCAUAAACCGUGGCUCAGUUCAGAUCGUAGGCUGCAACUCGCCUACGUGAAGUAGGAAUCGCUAGUAAUCGCAGGUCAGCAUACUGCGGUGAAUACGUUCCCGGGCCUUGUACACACCGCCCGUCACACCAUGGAAGUUGGCCACGCCCGAAGCCGUUACUCCAACCCUUGUGGAGGAGGACGUCGAAGGUGGGGCUGAUGACUGGGGUGAAGUCGUAACAAGGUAGCCGUACCGGAAGGUGGCUGGAUCACCUCCUAA
This 294-nucleotide ribosomal RNA is filed under the name uncultured Synechococcus sp. RNAcentral describes it as "partial 16S ribosomal RNA". It matches the Rfam family "Bacterial small subunit ribosomal RNA", at positions 1239 to 1533 of the family's 1533-position model. Lineage: Bacteria; Bacillati; Cyanobacteriota; Cyanophyceae; Synechococcales; Synechococcaceae. The record is from RNAcentral.